This 253-nucleotide ribosomal RNA is filed under the name uncultured bacterium. RNAcentral's name for it is "partial 16S ribosomal RNA". It matches the Rfam family "Bacterial small subunit ribosomal RNA", at positions 524 to 776 of the family's 1533-position model. The record is from RNAcentral.
UACGUAGGGUGCAAGCGUUGUCCGGAAUUAUUGGGCGUAAAGAGCGUGUAGGCGGCCAGAUAAGUCCGCUGUGAAAUCUCGAGGCUCAACUUCGAGCUGUCGGUGGAAACUGUCUGGCUAGAGUCCGGAAGAGGAGAAUGGAAUUCCUGGUGUAGCGGUGAAAUGCGCAGAUAUCAGGAAGAACACCCGUGGCGAAGGCGGUUCUCUGGGACGUGACUGACGCUGAGACGCGAAAGCGUGGGGAGCGAACAGG